GUUGAACAUACGCUUUUUUCUCUUCUCAGAAACUCACGUGUUUCAUUGGAGUUGCUUAUGAAGGGGCUGAAGUUCAUCAGGAGCCACUUGGAACAGUUUAGCCGCCGCAUGGACAACUCCCAACAGAUUGUAGACAUUUUACUCGUGCACGGAAACUCUGAAUGUAGCGAUGUAAGACUCGAAGUCGCCCAGUGUUGGGUUGCUUAUCUUUUAAAAGGGAGAGUCGUUUCUGAGGCUUUGCUGCCCUCUGUAGGAAAGGAGUUUAUAAUUGGCUGUACCGAUAUUGUUCCAACCAUUUCUGCCACUUACGCGGUCCUGUUUUCUUUUUAUUCUCUGCGAUACCCCUUUC
This is a long non-coding RNA of Zophobas morio, 349 nucleotides long. RefSeq lists it as uncharacterized. The transcript has 4 exons. The record is from RefSeq and is a predicted model, not a curated record. NCBI's taxonomy places the organism in Eukaryota, Metazoa, Arthropoda, Insecta, Coleoptera, Tenebrionidae.